This 400-nucleotide ribosomal RNA is filed under the name uncultured bacterium. RNAcentral's name for it is "bacterial SSU rRNA". It matches the Rfam family "Bacterial small subunit ribosomal RNA", at positions 355 to 747 of the family's 1533-position model. The record is from RNAcentral.
UCGAGAAUCUUUCGCAAUGGGCGCAAGCCUGACGAAGCGACGCCGUGUGAGUGAAGAAGGCCUUCGGGUUGUAAAACUCUUUCGCCAGGGAACAAGAGAGUCUGGUUAAUAACCAGAUAAUUUGAUGGUACUUGGUAAAGAAGCACCGGCUAACUCCGUGCCAGCAGCUGCGGUAAUACGGAGGGUGCAAGCAUUGAUCGGAAUUACUGGGCGUAAAGGGCGCGUAGGCGGUCCGAAAAGUCAGAUGUGAAAUUCCGGGGCUCAACCCCGGAGCUGCAUUUGAAACUUUUAGACUAGAGUAUAGUGAGGGUAAACGGAAUUCCACGUGUAGCGGUGAAAUGCGUAGAUAUGUGGAAGAACACCAGUGGUGAAGACGGUUUACUGUGCUAUAACUGACGCU